Non-coding RNA from Gossypium hirsutum (cotton), 87 nucleotides. The record is from Rfam. Lineage: Eukaryota; Viridiplantae; Streptophyta; Magnoliopsida; Malvales; Malvaceae.
CACGUCAGCGCGCUGUGCUGACAUGGCAACAAAUCGCGUCCACGUAAGCGCGAUUUGUAUCCACGUCAGCAAAUUACGCUGACGUGG